GGAUGAACGCUAGCGGCAGGCCUAAUACAUGCAAGUCGAACGGUGAUAUUUAUAUCAUAGUGGCGCACGGGUGCGUAACACGUAUGCAACCUACCUAUUAUUGGGGGAUAGCCUUUGGAAACGGAGAUUAAUACCGCAUAAUACGAUUAACUGGCAUCGGUUGAUUGUUAAAGCAUUUGCGAUAAUAGAUGGGCAUGCGUCCAAUUAGUUAGUUGGUGUGGUAAUGGCUCACCAAGACGAUGAUUGGUAGGGGAUCUGAGAGGAUAAUCCCCCACACUGGCACUGAGAUACGGGCCAGACUCCUACGGGAGGCAGCAGUAGGGAAUAUUGGGCAAUGGGCGGAAGCCUGACCCAGCCAUGCCGCGUGCAGGAAGACGGCGUUAUGCGUUGUAAACUGCUUUUUUAUAGGAAGAAGGAUCCCUUGCGAGGGAAGGUGACGGUACUAUAAGAAUAAGCACCGGCUAACUCCGUGCCAGCAGCCGCGGUAAUACGGAGGGUGCAAGCGUUGUCCGGAUUUAUUGGGUUUAAAGGGUGCGUAGGCGGUUUAUUAAGUCAGUGGUGAAAGACGGUC
This 571-nucleotide ribosomal RNA is filed under the name uncultured bacterium. RNAcentral's name for it is "bacterial SSU rRNA". It matches the Rfam family "Bacterial small subunit ribosomal RNA", at positions 27 to 606 of the family's 1533-position model. The record is from RNAcentral.